RNAcentral lists this ribosomal RNA (408 nucleotides) under uncultured bacterium. RNAcentral's name for it is "partial 16S ribosomal RNA". It matches the Rfam family "Bacterial small subunit ribosomal RNA", at positions 28 to 526 of the family's 1533-position model. The record is from RNAcentral.
GACGAACGCUGGCGGCGUGCUUAACACAUGCAAGUCGAACGAAGUGGCGAACGGGUGAGUAACGCGUAAUCAACCUGCCCUUCAGAGGGGUCCAACAGUUGGAAACGACUGCUCAUACCGCAUACUGAAGGAGGGGAUUGCGUCUGAUUAGCUAGUUGGAGGGGUAACGGCCAACCAAGGCGAUGCUCAGUAGCCGGUCGGAGAGGAUGAACGGCAACAUUGGGACUGAGACACGGCCCAGACUCCUACGGGAGGCAGCAGUGGGGAAUCUUCCGAAAUGGACGAAAGUCUGACGGAGCAAAGCCGCGUGAGUGAUGACGGUCUUCGGGUUGUAAAGCUCUGUUAAUCGGGACGCGGUACCGGAAUAGAAAGCAACGGCUAACUACGUGCCAGCAGCCGCGGUAAUUC